Molecule: ribosomal RNA, 254 nt
Filed under: uncultured bacterium
Lineage: Bacteria
Description: partial 16S ribosomal RNA
Rfam family: Bacterial small subunit ribosomal RNA
Source: RNAcentral
UACAGAGGUCCCGAGCGUUGUCCGGAUUUAUUGGGCGUAAAGAGCUCGUAGGUGGUUCGGUAAGUCGGAUGUGAAAUCUCCAGGCUCAACCUGGAGGGGUCAUUCGAUACUGCCGUGACUAGAGUUCGGUAGAGGAGUGUGGAAUUCCUGGUGGAGCGGUGAAAUGCGCAGAUAUCGAGAGGAACACCGGUGGCGAAGGCGGCUAUCUGGACAGUGACUGACGCUGAGACGCGAAAGCGUGGGGAGCAAACAGG